Hydractinia symbiolongicarpus is the source of this 132-nucleotide small nuclear RNA. RefSeq annotates it as U11 spliceosomal RNA. The record is from RefSeq and is a predicted model, not a curated record. The transcript has a single exon. Lineage: Eukaryota; Metazoa; Cnidaria; Hydrozoa; Anthoathecata; Hydractiniidae.
GAAAAGGGCACUUGCCGUCAAUGGCACGUAGGCGUCUCAUAACGCGGGCACUACGCGGAAUCGCUAUCAAGAGAUUUCGGGUGCAUAAUGUUUGGACAUGAGGGCAGUUGAUUUCGUUAAAUUGACGCCCCA